UCUAAUAUGGCAGAUUAGUGCAAUGAAUUUAAGAUUCAUAUAUAAAUUACAAUAUUUUAUUAGAA
RNAcentral lists this transfer RNA (65 nucleotides) under Evacanthus bivittatus. RNAcentral's name for it is "tRNA-Leu". The record is from RNAcentral. Lineage: Eukaryota; Metazoa; Arthropoda; Insecta; Hemiptera; Cicadellidae.